RNAcentral lists this ribosomal RNA (255 nucleotides) under uncultured bacterium. Its description in RNAcentral is "partial 16S ribosomal RNA". It matches the Rfam family "Bacterial small subunit ribosomal RNA", at positions 524 to 776 of the family's 1533-position model. The record is from RNAcentral.
UACGUAGGGUGCAAGCGUUGUCCGGAAUUAUUGGGCGUAAAGAGCUCGUAGGCGGUCUGUCGCGUCGGCUGUGAAAACCUGGGGCUUAACUCCGGGCCUGCAGCCGAUACGGGCAGACUAGAGUUCGGCAGGGGAGACUGGAAUUCCUGGUGUAGCGGUGAAAUGCGCAGAUAUCAGGAGGAACACCGGUGGCGAAGGCGGGUCUCUGGGCCGAUACUGACGCUGAGGAGCGAAAAGCGUGGGGGAGCAAACAGG